This 253-nucleotide ribosomal RNA is filed under the name uncultured bacterium. RNAcentral's name for it is "partial 16S ribosomal RNA". It matches the Rfam family "Bacterial small subunit ribosomal RNA", at positions 524 to 776 of the family's 1533-position model. The record is from RNAcentral.
UACGUAGGUGGCAAGCGUUGUCCGGAUUUACUGGGCGUAAAGAGCGCGCAGGCGGUCGUUCAAGUCGCGUGUGAAAGCCCCCGGCUCAACUGGGGAGGGUCACGCGAUACUGAUCGACUCGAAGGCAGGAGAGGGUAGUGGAAUUCCCGGUGUAGUGGUGAAAUGCGUAGAGAUCUGGAGGAAUACCGAUGGCGAAGGCAGCCAUCUGGCCUAACACUGACGCUGAGGUGCGAAAGCAUGGGGAGCAAACAGG